RNAcentral lists this non-coding RNA (203 nucleotides) under Acidobacteriota bacterium. RNAcentral describes it as "Acidobacteria bacterium (activated sludge metagenome) 6S RNA". It matches the Rfam family "6S / SsrS RNA". Rfam says of the family: E. coli 6S RNA was the first non coding RNA to be sequenced, but its function was unknown until recently. Lineage: Bacteria; Pseudomonadati; Acidobacteriota. RNAcentral also lists the same sequence under 1 other name. The record is from RNAcentral.
AGUUUACUGCGUUGCCCGUCCCCGGACGCAUACACAAUUGAGCCAACAUAUGAAUGCCGGGAGGCCAAUGCCGGUUUCGGUGCGAGUCUUUAAGUGAGAACUCGCCAUAGAACCUGGCUCCGAUGCUCCGAAAGGAACAGAAAGCCACCCACCUGUAAAAUACAGGUUCAAUUCAUACGUCCGAACGGCAUCGUGGUUUUCAU